CCUACGGGGGGCAGCAGUGAGGAAUAUUGGUCAAUGGACGAGAGUCUGAACCAGCCAAGUAGCGUGAAGGAUGACUGCCCUAUGGGUUGUAAACUUCUUUUAUAUGGGAAUAAAAUGUUCCACGUGUGGGAUUUUGUAUGUACCAUAUGAAUAAGGAUCGGCUAACUCCGUGCCAGCAGCCGCGGUAAUACGGAGGAUCCGAGCGUUAUCCGGAUUUAUUGGGUUUAAAGGGAGCGUAGGUGGAUUGUUAAGUCAGUUGUGAAAGUUUGCGGCUCAACCGUAAAAUUGCAGUUGAAACUGGCAGUCUUGAGUACAGUAGAGGUGGGCGGAAUUCGUGGUGGAGCGGUGAAAUGCUUAGAUAUCACGAAGAACUCCGAUUGCGAAGGCAGUUCACUGGACUGCAACUGACACUGAGGCUCGAAAGUGGGGGUAUCAAACAGGAUUAGAUACCCCAGUAGUC
This 460-nucleotide ribosomal RNA is filed under the name uncultured bacterium. RNAcentral describes it as "partial 16S ribosomal RNA". It matches the Rfam family "Bacterial small subunit ribosomal RNA", at positions 338 to 795 of the family's 1533-position model. The record is from RNAcentral.